This 451-nucleotide ribosomal RNA is filed under the name uncultured bacterium. Its description in RNAcentral is "bacterial SSU rRNA". It matches the Rfam family "Bacterial small subunit ribosomal RNA", at positions 354 to 796 of the family's 1533-position model. The record is from RNAcentral.
GUAGGGAAUAUUGCGCAAUGGGGGAAACCCUGACGCAGCGACGCCGCGUGGGUGAUGAAGGCCUUCGGGUCGUAAAGCCCUGUCAAGAGGGAAGAAAAACGCUGUGGCUAACAUCCAUAGCGCUUGACGGUACCUCUGGAGGAAGCACCGGCUAACUACGUGCCAGCAGCCGCGGUAAUACGUAGGGUGCUAGCGUUGUUCGGAAUUAUUGGGCGUAAAGCGCGUGUAGGUGGUUUGGAAAGUUGGAUGUGAAAUACCUGGGCUCAACUCAGGAAGUGCAUCCAAAACUGCCUGGCUAGAGGGCGAGAGAGGGAGGUGGAAUUCCUAGUGUAGAGGUGAAAUUCGUAGAUAUUAGGAGGAAUACCGGCGGCGAAGGCGGCCUCCUGGAUCGUUCCUGACACUGAGACGCGAAAGCGUGGGUAGCAAACAGGAUUAGAAACCCUAGUAGUCC